GACGAACGCUGGCGGCGUGCUUAACACAUGCAAGUCGAACGGAAAGGCCCUGCUUGCAGGGUACUCGAGUGGCGAACGGGUGAGUAACACGUGGGUGAUCUGCCCUGCACUUCGGGAUAAGCCUGGGAAACUGGGUCUAAUACCGGAUAGGAGCCAUUUUUAGUGUGAUGGUUGGAAAGUUUUUUCGGUGUAGGAUGAGCUCGCGGCCUAUCAGCUUGUUGGUGGGGUAAUGGCCUACCAAGGCGGCGACGGGUAGCCGGCCUGAGAGGGUGGACGGCCACAUUGGGACUGAGAUACGGCCCAGACUCCUACGGGAGGCAGCAGCGGGGAAUAUUGCACAAUGGGCGCAAGCCUGAUGCAGCGACGCCGCGUGGGGGAUGACGGCCUUCGGGUUGUAAACUCCUUUCGCUAGGGACGAAGCUUUUUGUGACGGUACCUAGAUAAGAAGCACCGGCUAACUACGUG
RNAcentral lists this ribosomal RNA (465 nucleotides) under uncultured bacterium. RNAcentral describes it as "partial 16S ribosomal RNA". It matches the Rfam family "Bacterial small subunit ribosomal RNA", at positions 28 to 507 of the family's 1533-position model. The record is from RNAcentral.